UGGUUAUAGGUAUAAAUUAAAAUAUUGUAUGUAUCCAACCUUUCCCAUUACCCAUUUACAACAGUGGCCGUAUUAGUUCCCAUGACCAGCAGUAUCAGCUCUAUUUGUUUUUUCUAUGAACAACUGCCAUGGUUAACGAUCAUAUCAUAUGAAGAAAACUUGCUUCAAAGUAUAGAAUAUAGCACCUUAUCUGAAAAGUAAUUUUCUCGUGUUAGUACAUUGGGGAAGUCAUUUUUUAUUUCUCACAGUAGUUUUCAUAUUAAAUGGGAAAAACGAGAAAAUUUACAAAAUGCGUUAUUUUCAAAUCGUAAUUAUUACUGCCUUUCAAAAUACGUGUAGCUAAACUUCGCUCAGAAUCGCUGCGUACAGAUAUAGGUACAUACAAUUUUCCCUUUACCUUUCUAAUUUCUCAUCUACAACAGUAGUUCGAAGUAUGUUCGUUUGUUUUAAGUUACCUGUUUACUUAUUUCUAGCAGUCUAAUAUCAUUAAAUUGCAUAGGUAUGACAUAAUUAUUUUUAGGGCUGUAAAUUAGGAUUGUAGGAAGGUUUAUUUUGUUUAGCUGAUUGUCAAAAUAGAUUUUUCGACACAAUUUUUGAAUUGUGUAUUAUGUACUUA
This is a non-coding RNA of Cinara cedri, 616 nucleotides long. The record is from the annotation of a GenBank genome assembly. NCBI's taxonomy places the organism in Eukaryota, Metazoa, Arthropoda, Insecta, Hemiptera, Aphididae.